GGGCUGAUAGUGAUAAUAGCGAGCACUUCUGCUUUGCACGCAGAGAGUCUGGGUUCGAUUCCCAGUCGGUCCA
Molecule: transfer RNA, 73 nt
Filed under: Caudoviricetes sp.
Lineage: Duplodnaviria; Heunggongvirae; Uroviricota; Caudoviricetes
Description: tRNA-Ala
Rfam family: tRNA
About the family: Transfer RNA (tRNA) molecules are approximately 80 nucleotides in length. Their secondary structure includes four short double-helical elements and three loops (D, anti-codon, and T loops).
Source: RNAcentral